CACGGGGGGAGCAAGCGUUGUUCGGAAUCACUGGGCGUAAAGCGUGCGUAGACGGUUGCGUAAGUCAGAUGUGAAAGCCCCGGGCUCAACCUGGGAAUUGCAUUUGAGGCUGCGUAGCUAGGGUGCGGAAGAGGGAAGCGGAAUUUCCGGUGUAGCGGUGAAAUGCGUAGAUAUCGGAAGGAACACCAGUGGCGAAAGCGGCUUCCUGGUCCAGCACCGACGUUCAGGCACGAAAGCGUGGGGAGCAAACAGG
RNAcentral lists this ribosomal RNA (253 nucleotides) under uncultured bacterium. RNAcentral describes it as "partial 16S ribosomal RNA". It matches the Rfam family "Bacterial small subunit ribosomal RNA", at positions 524 to 776 of the family's 1533-position model. The record is from RNAcentral.